UCGAGGGCCUCUGGUGCGCUUUUUGGCAGCCCGUGCGAGCAGUCGUCAGUCAGUUGGCCAAGAAACUGGUAGCGUCUGGUGUUGUGAGCCAACAAAAGGCUGGCAGCCAACACCGGACCGGACCGGGGCUACACGGCCCCGGGACCGGGACCGGGACGGACCCUUGGCCACCGGUUCUGACUGCGGAUUUUGGACUGCCAAUUGAGUUUGAGUUUGAGUUUGAGCGACGCGUAGCCAGCCAAGAAAAGUGGCCAACAACAACUGGCCCUUGCCCUUACACCCCUGGCCAUGGCACUGAGGCUGAGGUGGCCUGAGAAGACAUUGCCACGCAGCCAGGAUGUGGAGUGAAAGCAGAGCAGUGCACUGGCAGCAGCGUACUUUUUUGGCCGCACUCGCCAUUUGAUUAGCCAACUCAAACAUCAGGGCCAAGAUCGAGUCAAACAGCAGUUGAUGGCCAAUUGACAGCUCCGCACACGCAGACCCACACGCCAAUGGACACACGGAUGGACCACACUGGACCCCACCAGCAGGAUGCUCCUCCCCUACGUCCGUCUCGACCAUACAGCAAUCAUACAGAAAUAACAUCAAUUAAAAGACAAAUAAGAAGAAGAAGGAGGAGCAUCAUUCCGCAACACCAACAACCAGUUGCUGCUGUGGUGCAAAAGUGUGUGCAAAAGUGUGUGUGUGUGUGUGGAUGUGUGCGUGAGGACGUGAACUGACCAACAUGCGGUGCCAAAAAGAGUGCCACAGAAGGAGGUGGCAGGAUGACGGCAGCCCUGCCUGGCUCGGACCCAGCCAACAACCAACAAAAAACUGUAACUGAAACUGGAAGUGGAAGUGGGAUUGGAGCCAGGAACAACAACCAACCUUUGGCAAUGUUGAUUGUUUCAUCGGACCAGGCUUAAUGCAAUGAAUCGUCCUGGACCAACAGCACGUCAACGGAGCCAGGCAAACGCCAGCGAAGCCUCAAAGGAUAAACAUCAUCCACAGAGAGAGGCACUUCAAAGCAAAAACCAAUACAAAAACCUUCAAAAAAAUAACAAUAAAUAAAGUUACAAACAUUUCAACAUAGUGAACGUAGUGCUUAAAACUCUAUAUGAGCAAUAAUCGCAUAUAAUUUAAUCACACAUAAAAUACUCAACCAAAAGCAAUAACUUAUAUAAUUAAUCCCCCCAAACAAGUAUAACUAUGACGUUAUUGAAACUUAAUCGACACUUAUAAAUAAACGCAAUAGAACAAAGAAUACUCUUGAACUCUUAGUGCAAUAUAUAUAAUAUUAUAAACCUGGUUAUAUCGAAUAUGUGUUAACGACAAGCACUUGUAGACAAUUAUUUGAUCGAUCUUGAUCGAGCCUAAAUUCAAUCAGCGCGAGGCACUCCCCUGGCCUCGUCGAGCAUAAGAUGAUGAACACACAUGGAUGAUGAUGGAGAGGAGUGGAGAAAGGGAGAACAUCUGAGCGAGGAAGAGUGCCUGAUAAUGCGACUAGGCCCAAAGGAAACCUCGUUGGCCAAUUGGGGAGGAUACGCCGGCAGAGAGCCACACUGAAACUAUCGGAGGCCUGACCAACCAAUGGCAGUUCAGUGCAGAAUUGAAGCCUGGUGCAAAGGGGGACCACGGGGUGGGGAAGCAGCCGCAGGCCAGGACAACCGGCGCGCAAUGCAUUUGGCAACAUGUCAAGCAGUCCAGGAAGGAGCACACUCACUCACACGCUCUACGGGGAUUGGUGCAAGUCAGCCAAGUAAUUCUCUGGCCUGCCUCGCUCACAUGCGCAUGGAAAGUCCUUUAAGUAAUAUAUCAACCAUACGCCUGUUGGCCGGGCACCGAGUCCUUGCCCCCACAUCCAUGCCAGUGUGUGUGUGUGUGUGUGAGUGUGCCGAGGACCACGAGGUUUGCCAACUGCAUUGCAGGCCCGUUGUGAUUGAACCUGUGCCUGAGGCGAGCCCCGACCCGAGGACUCCCACCCAUCCAUCCCCAACACGAACGAUGAGUCCUUUGCAGGCAGCGCAUUGGCUGCAGGACGACUGGCGACAGGACGACCAAUCGCAGCAGCGCUUGUGCGCACUAUCCCGGCCGCCCUGCAGGCCCCCCAGGCACGAGUCACGGCACCAGGACCAGCCAGAGGACUCAAGCUGAUUGCACUAUCCAACAUUUAAACGAGAUACUUACGUAGUAGUUACAUAUUGUAGUUCUUUAGUCGUAAGUCACAUGCCCAAGCCUACGCCCCCGAAAACACCAUCUGCACGGGGGGCGUGAAUAAAUUAGUUUAUGUUUAUCUUAGAGUUUCAAGCAACUUACAUAUAUAAAAGUAAUGAAGAUUUCAAGAAUGCGAAAGAAAAAAAUAAAGGAAUAAAACCGGUAAAGCUCCAGAGCGGCAAA
Long non-coding RNA from Drosophila obscura, 2376 nucleotides. RefSeq lists it as uncharacterized. The record is from RefSeq and is a predicted model, not a curated record. The transcript is spliced from 2 exons. Lineage: Eukaryota; Metazoa; Arthropoda; Insecta; Diptera; Drosophilidae.